GACGAACGCUGGCGGCGUGCUUAACACAUGCAAGUCGAACGGAAAGGCCCUGCUUUUGUGGGGUGCUCGAGUGGCGAACGGGUGAGUAACACGUGAGUAACCUGCCCUUGACUUUGGGAUAACUUCAGGAAACUGGGGCUAAUACCGGAUAGGAGCUCCUGCUGCAUGGGGGGGGUUGGAAAGUUUCGGCGGUUGGGGAUGGACUCGCGGCUUAUCAGCUGGUUGGUGGGGUAGUGGCUUACCAAGGCUUUGACGGGUAGCCGGCCUGAGAGGGUGACCGGCCACAUUGGUACUGAGAUACGGCCCAGACUCCUACGUGAGGCAGCAGUGGGGAAUAUUGCACAAUGGGCGGACGCCUGAUGCAGCAACGCCGCGUGCGGGAUGACCGCCUUCUGGUUGUAAACCGCUUUCGCCUGUGACGAAGCGUGCGUGACGGUAAUGGGUAAAGAAGCACCGGCUAACUACGUG
This 468-nucleotide ribosomal RNA is filed under the name uncultured bacterium. RNAcentral describes it as "partial 16S ribosomal RNA". It matches the Rfam family "Bacterial small subunit ribosomal RNA", at positions 28 to 507 of the family's 1533-position model. The record is from RNAcentral.